UAUCCUGCCCACGCGGGAAGGAUGAGAAGCUUCGACCAAGGUUCGAUUCGAGCGUAGCGAGAAAGCGUUGCCGCAGGCAACGACCCGAAGGGCGAAGCGCGCAGCGCUGAGUAAUCCUUCCCCCCCCACCA
Molecule: small RNA, 131 nt
Filed under: Kluyvera intermedia
Lineage: Bacteria; Pseudomonadati; Pseudomonadota; Gammaproteobacteria; Enterobacterales; Enterobacteriaceae
Description: RtT sRNA
Rfam family: RtT RNA
About the family: This family represents a bacterial cis-regulatory element known as RtT RNA. The exact function of RtT is unknown although it is thought that it may be involved in changing the cellular response in relation to amino acid starvation.
Source: RNAcentral